GCCUGCGGCGGAGUCCGGGACGUGGAGACCCGGGGUCCCGGCAGCUGGGCGGCCCGCGGGCCCAGGGUGGGGAUGCACCGCCGCGGGGUGGGAGCUGGCGCCAUCGCCAAGAAGAAACUUGCAGAGGCCAAGUAUAAGGAGCGAGGGACGGUCUUGGCUGAGGACCAGCUAGCUCAGAUGUCAAAGCAGUUGGACAUGUUCAAGACCAACCUGGAGGAAUUUGCCAGCAAACACAAGCAGGAGAUCCGGAAGAAUCCUGAGUUCCGUGUGCAGUUCCAGGACAUGUGUGCAACCAUUGGCGUGGAUCCGCUGGCCUCUGGAAAAGGAUUUUGGUCUGAGAUGCUGGGCGUGGGGGACUUCUAUUACGAACUAGGUGUCCAAAUUAUCGAAGUGUGCCUGGCGCUGAAGCAUCGGAAUGGAGGUGAGGGUGGCUAGGUCCUGUGAA
This 445-nucleotide small RNA is filed under the name Pan troglodytes (chimpanzee). RNAcentral describes it as "retained intron". Lineage: Eukaryota; Metazoa; Chordata; Mammalia; Primates; Hominidae. The record is from RNAcentral.